GGAUGUGAAAUNCCCGGGCUCAACCUGGGAACUGCGUUNUGAACUGGGUGACUAGAGUGUGUCAGAGGGAGGUAGAAUUCCACGUGUAGCAGUGAAAUGCGUAGAGAUGUGGAGGAAUACCGAUGGCGAAGGCAGCNUCCUGGGAUAACACUGACGUUCAUGCUNGAAAGCGUGGGUAGCAAACAGGAUUAGAUACCCUGGUAGUCCACGCCCUAAACGAUGUCAAUUAGCUGUUGGGCAACUCGAUUGCUUAGUAGCGUAGCUAACGCGUGAAAUUGACCGCCUGGGGAGUACGGUCGCAAGAUUAAAACUCAAAGGAAUUGACGGGGACCCGCACAAGCGGUGGAUGAUGUGGAUUAAUUCGAUGCAACGCGAAGAACCUUACCUGGUCUUGACAUGUACGGAAUCCUCCAGAGACGGAGGAGUGCCUUCGGGAGCCGUAACACAGGUGCUGCAUGGCUGUCGUCAGCUCGUGUCGUGAGAUGUUGGGUUAAGUCCCGCAACGAGCGCAACCCUUGUCAUUAGUUGCCAUCAUUUAGUUGGGCACUCUAAUGAGACUGCCGGUGACAAGCCGGAGGAAGGUGGGGAUGACGUCAAGUCCUCAUGGCCCUUAUGACCAGGGCUUCACACGUCAUACAAUGGUCGGUACAGAGAGUAGCCAAGCCGCGAGGUGGAGCCAAUCUCACAAAACCGAUCGUAGUCCGGAUUGCACUCUGCAACUCGAGUGCAUGAAGUCGGAAUCGCUAGUAAUCGCAGGUCAGCAUACUGCGGUGAAUACGUUCCCGGGUCUUGUACACACCGCCCGUCACACCAUGGGAGUGGGGGAUACCAGAAGUAGGUAGGGUAACCGCAAGGAGCCCGC
This 862-nucleotide ribosomal RNA is filed under the name uncultured bacterium. RNAcentral's name for it is "bacterial SSU rRNA". It matches the Rfam family "Bacterial small subunit ribosomal RNA", at positions 590 to 1453 of the family's 1533-position model. The record is from RNAcentral.